This 73-nucleotide transfer RNA is filed under the name Elusimicrobiota bacterium. RNAcentral describes it as "Elusimicrobia bacterium (groundwater metagenome) tRNA-Thr". It matches the Rfam family "tRNA". From Rfam's summary of the family: Transfer RNA (tRNA) molecules are approximately 80 nucleotides in length. Their secondary structure includes four short double-helical elements and three loops (D, anti-codon, and T loops). The record is from RNAcentral. Lineage: Bacteria; Pseudomonadati; Elusimicrobiota.
GCCGACGUAGCUCAGCUGGUAGAGCAGGGGUUUUGUAAACCUCAGGUCGUGGGUUCAAGUCCCUCCGCCAGCU